Molecule: non-coding RNA, 45 nt
Filed under: Schistosoma mattheei
Lineage: Eukaryota; Metazoa; Platyhelminthes; Trematoda; Strigeidida; Schistosomatidae
Source: RNAcentral
AUCCAUCUGAUGAGUCUCAAAUAGGCCGAAACACGUGUCCUGAAU